This 315-nucleotide ribosomal RNA is filed under the name uncultured eukaryote. Its description in RNAcentral is "partial large subunit ribosomal RNA". It matches the Rfam family "Eukaryotic large subunit ribosomal RNA", at positions 40 to 350 of the family's 3401-position model. The record is from RNAcentral.
AUAUCAAUAAGCGGAGGAAAAGAAACCAACAGGGAUUGCCUCAGUAACGGCGAGUGAAGCGGGAAAAGCUCAACUUAAAAAUCUGGGUGUCCUAGACACUCCGAAUUGUAGUCUGUAGAAGCUGUAACCAGUCACUGUCUGGGGAUAAGUCCCUUGGAAAAGGGCGUCAUAGAGGGUGAUAACCCCGUCUUUGCUCCGGAUUUGUGACGUACGGUUCGCUUUCAAAGAGUCGAGUUGCUUGGGAGUGCAGCUCUAAGUGGGUGGUAAAUUCCAUCUAAAGCUAAAUAUUGGCGAGAGACCGAUAGCGCACAAGUA